Molecule: long non-coding RNA, 36298 nt
Filed under: Hordeum vulgare
Lineage: Eukaryota; Viridiplantae; Streptophyta; Magnoliopsida; Poales; Poaceae
Description: long non-coding RNA (HVUL_LNC001699)
Source: RNAcentral
GAAAACCUCAGCGUUCUCUUCAGCGACCUUCGUCUCAACGACGAACCGCGCUACUUCGGCGAGGACCUCGACGUUGAGGCGCUCUGCGCCAGCUUCAGCAGGCUCUCUAUCGCCGAGAUGCCUGCCCACGAUGUUUACCCCAGUAACGUCCUCAUCUUCAACGACCCUUCUGUUGGAAAUAUGCCCUAGAGGCAAUAAUAAUUAGUUAUUAUUAUAUUUCUUUGUUCAUGAUAAUCGUUUAUUAUCCAUGCUAUAAUUGUAUUGAUUGGAAACACAAUACUUGUGUGGAUACAUAGACAAAACACUGUCCCUAGUAAGCCUCUAGUUGACUAGCUCGUUGAUCAAAGAUGGUCAAGGUUUCCUGGCCAUAGGCAAGUGUUGUUACUUGAUAACGGGAUCACAUCAUUAGGAGAAUCAUGUGAUGGACUAGACCCAAACUAAUAGACGUAGCAUGUUGAUCGUGUCAUUUUGUUGCUACUGUUUUCUGCGUGUCAAGUAUUUGUUCCUAUGACCAUGAGAUCAUAUAACUCACUGACACCAGAGGAAUGCUUUGUGUGUAUCAAACGUCGCAACGUAACUGGGUGACUAUAAAGAUGCUCUACAGGUAUCUCCGAAGGUGUUCGUUGAGUUAGUAUGGAUCAAGACUGGGAUUUGUCACUCCGUAUGACGGAGAGGUAUCUCGGGGCCCACUCGGUAAUACAACAUCACACACAAGCCUUGCAAGCAAUGUGACUUAGUGUAAGUUGCGAGAUCUUGUAUUACGGAACAAGUAAAGAGACUUGCCGNNNNNNNNNNNNNNNNNNNNNNNNNNNNNNNNNNNNNNNNNNNNNNNNNNNNNNNNNNNNNNNNNNNNNNNNNNNNNNNNNNNNNNNNNNNNNNNNNNNNNNNNNNNNNNNNNNNNNNNNNNNNNNNNNNNNNNNNNNNNNNNNNNNNNNNNNNNNNNNNNNNNNNNNNNNNNNNNNNNNNNNNNNNNNNNNNNNNNNNNNNNNNNNNNNNNNNNNNNNNNNNNNNNNNNNNNNNNNNNNNNNNNNNNNNNNNNNNNNNNNNNNNNNNNNNNNNNNNNNNNNNNNNNNNNNNNNNNNNNNNNNNNNNNNNNNNNNNNNNNNNNNNNNNNNNNNNNNNNNNNNNNNNNNNNNNNNNNNNNNNNNNNNNNNNNNNNNNNNNNNNNNNNNNNNNNNNNNNNNNNNNNNNNNNNNNNNNNNNNNNNNNNNNNNNNNNNNNNNNNGAUCUUCGUAGAAUAUGGAGGAUCCAAUAUGGGCAUCCAGGUCCCGCUAUUGGAUAUUGACCGAGGAGUCACUCGGGUCAUGUCUACAUAGUUCUCGAACCCGCAGGCUCUGCACACUUGCACACUUAAGGUUCGACGUUGUUUUAUGCGUAUUUGAGUUAUAUGGUUGGUUGCCGAAUGUUGUUCGGAGUCCCGGAUGAGAUCACGGACGUCACGAAGGUUUCCAGAAUGGUUCGAAAACGAAGAUUGAUAUAUAGGAUGACCUCAUUUGAUUACCGGAAGGUUUUUGGAGUUACUGGGAAUGUACCGGGAAUGACGAAUGGGUUCCGGGAGUUCACCGGGGGGGGGGGCAACCCACCCCGGGGAAGCCCAUAGGCCUUGAGGGUGGCACACCAGCCCUUAGUGGGCUGGUGGGGCAGCCCAAAAGGGCCCUAUGCGCCUAGGAAAGAAAAUCAAAGAGAAAANNNNNNNNNNNNNNNNNNNNNNNNNNNNNNNNNNNNNNNNNNNNNNNNNNNNNNNNNNNNNNNNNNNNNNNNNNNNNNNNNNNNNNNNNNNNNNNNNNNNNNNNNNNNNNNNNNNNNNNNNNNNNNNNNNNNNNNNNNNNNNNNNNNNNNNNNNNNNNNNNNNNNNNNNNNNNNNNNNNNNNNNNNNNNNNNNNNNNNNNNNNNNNNNNNNNNNNNNNNNNNNNNNNNNNNNNNNNNNNNNNNNNNNNNNNGGGGAAGCCCAUAGGCCUUGGGGGUGGUGCACCAGCCCUUGGUGGGCUGGUGGGACAGCCCAAGAAGGCCCUAUGCGCCAUAGAAAGAAAAUCAAAGAGAAAAGAGAAAAAAAGGAGGUGGGAAAGGAGAGAAGGACUCCACCUUCCAAUCCUAGUUGGACUAGGAUUGGAGGAGGACUCCUCCUCCCUUGGUGGCGCAGCCCUUGGGGCUCCUUGAGCCUCCAGGCAAGCCUCCCCUCCCUCCUCCUAUAUAUAUGGAGCAAUUAGGGCUGAUUUGACACAACUUUUCAAGGCAGCCCGACCACAUACCUCCACGAUUUUACCUCUAGAUCGCAUUUCUGCGGAGCUCGAGCGGAGCCCUGCUGAGAUUAGAUCACCACCAACCUCCGUAACGCCGUCACACUGCCGGUGAACUCAUCUACCUCUCCGUCUCUCUUGCUGGAUCAAGAAGGCCGAGAUCAUCGUCGAGCUGUAUGUGUGCUGAACGCGGAGGUGCCGUCCGUUCGGCACUAGAUCGUGGGACGGAUCGCGGGACGGUUCGCGGGGCGGACCGAGGGACGGGAGGACGUUCCACUACAUCAACCGCGUUUCUUAACGCUUCUGCUAUGCGAUCUACAAGGGUACGUAGAUCGGAAAUCCCCUCUCGUAGAUGGACAUCACCAUGAUAGGUCUUCGUGCGCGUAGGAAAUUUUUUUCUUCCCAUGCGACGUUCCCCAACACCUUCGCCGUCGGUGGGGUUCUUCACCCCAUACCACGUUGCUGCCAUCUCCAACACCGUGGAGGUGAUGGUUAUCGGCGUUGGCACCAGUACGGCUCCCGGAAAGGCCUCCGGAGGCGCUGGUGAGCCCGCCGCGGCCACCGCCGAUACUCUUCGGGACACCAUCGCCGGACUAAAGACACCUGUCACCAGCUCCGCCGACCCUGCAAACGCUCGGGCCUCGUUGGAGGAGGCUCGCGAGCAUAUCUUGGAGGAGGGCAUCGCCGUAGCUUCGGCGAAACGUCGGUUGGAGGCUACGCAGUGCGAGUAUAACUCCGCAUACGGUCUCACUCCGAUUUCCGAGGCCCCUAGCCGGCUUGGAUCGGUCCGCAGCUGCGGCCGGUUCAUCGCCGAGGUUCUAGGCGGUGAUCUGCCCACCUACGAGACUCCUGCGGCCAACAUGCGAGCGGCGCAGGCAACCAUGGAGGAGAUGGCCAGCCUGGAUGGCGAGGAGCGCGCCUUCCAGGAGAAGCGUGUCAAGGAUCUCCUUGACGCCGCCAACCAGCAACACGCUCGGCUUGACCCCGGUCAGGCUCAAUCGGAGUCCCCGGGACCGAACUCAGGGGCACGCCGCAAUCCUAGCGGCCAGCACCACGUAGAAGGAUCUUCCUCGCAUCGCCCUUCCGGGCGGAGGGGCGAGGGAAGCCAAGACCGGCGCUCUCAGCGCCAGAGCGAGCACACUUCGGGCUUGCGUCGCGGAGGCGACGAGGGCGAUUCGGAGUGUGAGGUUCUCCCCCCGCGAAGAACUCACGUCUCUGGCUCACGAGGCGCCUCCCCUCUCGCCACCGGGGCUGGCGCCCACGCCACCCAGGAUGAGCGGGAUGCCCGUCGGCGUCUCAUCGUCCUCGCCCAGUCAGCCCUCCUAGAGGAAGACGAACCCGUCGGUCUGGCAUGCUUCGGCCCCCGGAUCCGAGGGGAGCCGUUCCCCCGAGGUUUCAACUUACCUCGGGAUACGCCGAAAUACAACGACACGGCCAAGCCAGAAGACUGGCUGAUUGAUUAUACCACGGCCGUAGGCAUCGCCAGGGGCAACAAGCGCGUAGCAGUUCGCUACGUGCCACUCAUGUUGGCCGGCUCGGCCCGAACUUGGCUUAACAGCCUCCCGGCCGGCAGUGUCAACUCCUGGGUGGACUUCGAGGAGGCGUUCGUCCGCAACUUCACCGGCACCUACAAGCGCCCUGGCCAGCCCCGCGAGCUGGCUAUGUGCGUCCAGAAGGCCGACGAACCCCUUCGCGACUACGUCACCCGGUGGACUGAGCUCUGCAACUCCUGCGAGGGGUGCAUGAGGUACAAGCCAUCCAGUACUUCAUUGACGGUUGCCGAGACGGCACCCUCCUCAAGCACAAGCUCAUGUGCGCCGAGCCCACCUCUUUGGCGGUGCUCAUGGCCUAGGCAGACAAGUACUCCACGGCCGACUCCACAAUGCGCAUCAAGGUGACCGCCUCGGACAAGGUUGUGCCUACGCGGGCUACUCCCAAGCCGGCUGGGGACAACCGAGGCGGCCAGAACAACUACAAGCGCAAGGCGGAUCAGAUGGAUCCCCGCUCCAACAGCAAGUUGGUGGCCAAUGUGGAGGGCGAGGCGUCGGCUUCUCAAGCCGGCCCUCCACGAAAGCGUCCCAAUCGGAGCAACCCCAACUGGCUGCCCAAGCAGUCCUUCGAGCAGCUGCUCGACGCCCCCUGCAAGAUACAUUCUGGGGAGACGCCGUCUUCCCAUACCCUUCGACAGUGCAACGUUGCGCGCCGGCUGUCGCAAGGGGAUGGCAUGCCGGCUCCUCCGGGUGCACAUGCGGCGGCCCGUGCGGCGGCUCCCAACCACGCUCUGCCUCCGCCACCGCCACCUCGCGAUGACGGUCAUCACCCAGACGACUAUCCUCAUCAAGACGGAGCGUUCGUCGUCUUCACCAGCGAAGGCGACGACAAGCACAACCUACGCCAAAGACGGCACGAGGUAAACGCCACUGUCCUCCCGGUUCCCCAGUACAUGCAUUGGUCUGACAAACCAAUCACAUGGAGCCGGGUGGACCAUCCUGCGGUGAUGCCCAACCUGGGAUUAUACGCGCUCGUCCUCGACCCCACCUUCGCCUCCAAAAGGCUCACCUGCCGAUUCUCCCGGGUGCUGGUCGAUGGCGGCAGCAGCAUCAACAUCCUCUACCUCGACACUCUCCUCAAGCUUGGGCUCAAGGAGACGGACGUCCUGCCAACCAGCACUGUCUUCCAUGGCAUCGUGCCUGGGCAGUCCUGCUCGCCCAUCGGCAAGAUCCAGCUGGACGUCCUCUUCGGCGACAAGGCCCACUUCCGCCGAGAGUCCAUAUGGUUCGAGGUAGUAGACCUCAGUAGCCCGUAUCACGCGCUGUUGGGAAGACCGGCUUUGGCCAAGUUCAUGGCUAUUCCGCAUUAUGCCUACCUAAAGAUGAAGAUGCCGGGUCCCAAGGGCAUCAUCACUGUUGUUGGCGACUACAAGAAGUCGCUCGAGUGUGCCCAAGAUAGCAGCCGCCUCACCGACGCCUUGGUGAUUGCUGAGGAGAAGCGGCAGAUUGACCGGCUCGUGGCCCAGGCUGCCGAGCAGCCGGUGAUUCCUUCUCCUCCGUCCCAAUCGACCGGCGAGGGCUCUUUCAAGCCGGCUAAAGAGACCAAACAGGUCCCACUCGACCCUGCCAACGCGAAGUAGUGCGUCACCAUCGGGGCUGGCCUCAGCCCCAAAUAGGAAGGCGAGCUCGUCGACUUCCUCCGUGAGAAUCGGGACAUCUUUGCAUGGUCCCUCAAGGACAUGCCGGGUGUUCCGAGGAAGUACGCCGAGCACAAACUUCACGUGCGACCGGAUGCGAAGCCGGUGAAACAACCCCUGCGCCGCUUCGCCGAGGGGAAGCGGCGCACGAUCGGAGAAGAAAUCACCCGGCUCCUCGCAUCCGGCUUCAUCAUGGAGGUUUUCCACCCGGACUGGCUGGCUAACCCAGUCCUGGUGCUGAAGAAGAACAACACAUGGCGAAUGUGUAUCGACUACACUAGCCUGAAUAAGGCCUGUCCGAAAGACCCUUUCGCGUUGCCUAGGAUAGAUCAAGUGAUCGACUCCACUGCAGGCUGCGAACUGCUGUCGUUUAUGGAUGCUUAUUCAGGCUACCAUCAAAUCAAGCUGGAUCCAACUGAUCCCGUGAAGACCUCCUUCAUCACGCCCUUCGGGGCCUACUGCUACACCACCAUGACGUUCGGUCUGAAGAACGCACGUGCGACAUUCCAACACUGCAUGCAGCAGUGCCUACUGCCACAGAUUGGCAGAAACAUCCACGUCUAUGUGGAUGACAUUGUCGUCAAGACGAAGCAGCACUUCAGCCUCCUCGACGACCUACGGGAGACAUUCGCUAAUCUGCGCGAAUACAAGAUCCGGCUCAACCCUGAGAAGUGCGUCUUCGGGGUCCCAGGCGGCAAACUCUUGGGGUUCUUCAUAUCCGCCCGCGGCAUCGAAGCGAACCCUGAGAAGAUCAGCACCAUCGAGCGGAUGGUGCGGCCGGCUCGGAUCCUCGACGUCCAAAAGUUCGCCGGCUGCUUGGCAUCCCUCAGCCGGUUCGUCAGCCGACUUGGUGAGAAGGCCCUUCCACUCUACAAGCUCAUGAAGAUGACGACAAAGUUCGAGUGGAACGACCAGGCGGACGAAGCCUUCCGCGACCUCAAGCGGGUAAUCUCGAGCCUGCCAUUCUUGGCAGCCCCAUCUGAAAGGGAACCCAUACUCAUAUACAUCGCGGCGACCACUCGCGUGGUCAGCGUAGUGUUGGUAGUUCAGCGUAAAGAGGAAGGCAAGGCCCUGCCAGUGCAGCGCCCUGUCUACUACCUUAGCAAGGUCUUGUCUGCCUCUAAGCAGAACUACCCUCAUUAUCAGAAAAUGUGUUAUGGUGUUUACCUUGCUGCAAAGAAAUUGAAGCAAUACUUCCAAGAGCAUGCCAUCACUGUGUUGGGGAACAUCGCAUGGGAAACAAAAAAUUUCCUACGCGCACGAAGACCUAUCAUGGUGAUGUCCAUCUACGAGAGGGGAUUUCCGAUCUACGUACCCUAGUAGAUCGCACAGCAGAAGCAUUAAGAAAUGCGGUUGAUGUAGUGGAACGUCCUCACGUCCCUCGAUCCGCCCCGCGAACCGUCCCACGAACCGUCCUGCGAUCCGUCCCACGAUCCGCACCGAUCUAGUGCCGAACGGACGGCACCUCCGCGUUCAACACACGUACAGCUUGACGAUGAUCUCGGACUUCUUGAUCCAGCAAGAGAGACGGAGAGGUAGAUGAGUUCUCCGGCAGCGUGACGGCGCUCCGGAGGUUGGUGGUGAUCUAAUCUUAGCAGGGCUCCGCCCGAGCUCCGCAGAAACGCGAUCUAGAGGAAAAACCGUGGAGGUAUGUGGUCGGGCUGCCGUGGCAAAAGUUGUCUCAAAUCAACCCUAAUAGCUCCAUAUAUAUAGGAGGAGGGGAGGGGAGGCUUGCCUUGAGGCUCAAGGAGCCCCAAGGGCUGCGCCACCAAGGGGAGGAGGAGUCCUUGUGACAGCCCGAGACCGACGUUCCAGAAGAUUCCCCCAUUUAUUCCGUUUUCGUCGUAUGUUUAGUUUUUAUUCACUACAUCGUCAUGUAGUUGCAUCAUCGCAUCAUGCAUGGCAUCAUGUCAUCUGUGUUUUAUCGGUGUUGUUUGUUGCUUCGUGUUGUUGGGUGUUAGUGUUUCGUGAGUGGCGUCGUUUGUUGGCGCGAUGAGAGAGGGAGCGUGAGAGCCACCGCUAAACCCCGUUGCACCGCUGACCUAAACCUUCUCCCCUCUUCUCCCCUCCUAAGUUGUUUUGUGGUUUUCCUAAAGAUUUCUAACUUUACCCCUCUUCCAAAAUAUUCGUCUUCUUUUUAAAAGUCCUUUUAUUAAACGUAGGGGCAACCCUUAGGUUUUAUUUUAACUCUCCGUUUGUCUUAUUUUAAAACCCUCCCAUUUUAUUUCUCUUUUAAAAGGCUUCUAUUUAUCCUUUAAAUAAAGAGGUCUUAUUUAAUCCUUUAAAAAAAGGGGUUAUCUUAUUUUUUUUCUUGUUAAAGGAGUUUUAAUUUAAUUCUUCAAAAGGGUGUUGAUUUUAAUUCUUUUAAAAGAAAGGGUUUGGUUUUUUUUAAUUCUUCUAAGAAGGGUUUUAUUUUAAAUCUUAAAAGGGUUUCAUUUUAUUUGUUUAAGAAAAAGCCCAAACUAUUUAUAGUUGGGGUUUGUUUUAAAUGGGUAAAAGAUACUAUCUUUAGUUUGUUUUUAUUUCGUUGGAAAAGACCUUUCUUUUAACAGAUUUCUGUUUUAAGGGUUUUUUUUUUCAAAAGAAAAAAAAACCAAAGUGCAUCAGGGGGAGGGAGCCCAGCCCAGCCGGCCAGGCCCAUGCCUCCUCCCUGACCUAGUGCCGACACCCCAGACCCCCAUCUCCCCCGUGCCGCCGCCCAACGCCCCGCGACCUGGCCUCCCCUGCUCGAGGGCUGCGCCGUCAGCCCCGCGCCAGCAGCCCCGAGCCCCCCGCCGGUCGCCGCCAAGCCCCUCCUGCCGCCUCCUCUUCCUCCCGAGCGCGCCGGCCACCUGCAGGAGACCCGCCGCCUGCGCUCGCCGUCGCCCCGAGUUCCCCGCCGCCGGCAGCCCCGCGCUCCGCCUCCGCAGCGACGCCCCGUCGUGCUCGCGAGCCGGCCGCCUCGCCCUCUGCUCCUCUUCUCCGAGUUCGAGCCGCCGCCCUUGCCCUGCAGCGCCGUCGUCACCCGCGCCUCGCCCCCGUCGCCGUCAUGGCCGCGCCGUCAGCGAGCCGCCCCGCGCGCCGCCCUGCCGUGCCCGCCACCAGGGGAUCCCCUCCGCCGCGCUGCGCGUCGUGGACGCCUCCUCCUCCUCGGACCUCGCCCCCGCGCGCCAUGCUGGUCGCCCCUCGACCCGAGUGCGCCGCCGCCGCCGUCUGCUGCGAGGAUAGCUUCUCCCAUCGCCCCUGCUUCCCAGGCCCGAGAUCAUCGCCCCGUCGGCCUUGCCCCCUGGUCGUCCUCGCUCGCCUCCCGGUCGCCGCCCCGUCGUGCUCGCCGGACCGCCCGUUCCCUUGCCGACGCCGAGAUAGCACGCCACUGCCGUUGCUGUUGCUGCGCUCGUGCCGAGUUGUGUUGCUGGCAGCUGCAGUUGAUGCUUGCCUGUUGCUGUUAGACUGCUAGGCCGCUAUUGCGUUUGCUAUGCUGCUAUUCCUGCUGCCGGUAGUAGAUGCACGCGUUGCCUGCUGCCCUGCUUGCCUGCAGACGCUGAUGCUGAUUGCUGUUGCUGCUGUGUGCUGUAGCUUGCUUGUUGUUUGGGCUUGUUGCCUCGCUGCCGUGCGUUGUUGCUGUCAAGUGUUGCUGUUGUGCCCGCGGUAGUUGUCGUUGCCUGCCCUGCUGUGUAGUCGCUGUAGCUAGCUGCUGCCUGUUGCGUGCUGCAUCGCUGCUGCUUUGCUAGGUGCCGCCAGCUAGCUGGUGUUGUUGUCGAGAUGUUGCUGCUGCCCUUGCCGAUAGCUGUCGUAGCCAGUGCUGUUGUGAGUUGUCCUGUUGCUGUUAGUUGCAAGCUAGCUUGCUCUUGCUGCCGUUAGCUUGCCUGUAGUUGUUGUUGCCGUGCUUGCGCCGCUGCCGUGCGAUUGCUGUUGUAGCUGGCUUUGCUGCUGCUAGUUUGCAUUGCUGCUAGUGGUAGGUUGCGGCAUGCUAGUGCUAGUGCCGCUUUGCCGUUGUAGUUGCUGUCAUGUCGCGUGCCGUUGCUGCGUGCAUGAUCACCGCCUUCGUGGGUCCUCGACAAGUUCGCCGCGAGUACCACGACGCUCCGACGACCCCGGACAUCCACGGAUUCGUGAACGACUACCGACGCCGAAGACCGUCUGCCGACGCCGAGAGUACGACUACCGUCGACGAGACCGUGCACCACUACUUCAACCGCCGGCGCGUGAACGACUACUUCCACGACGACCACGACGUCCGCUUCGACCGAACCCCUCCGAUUCGCACGCGUCGAAGGUAUACCGAUGGGACAUGUCGAGUACCGUGUGCUAGCGAUGUACGAAUGUGUGUGUUGUACAAGUUGAAUGCAUGUAUGCACCGUAUGUAUGCACCGUUUAUUUGCCGUGCUCGUCGUCUUCCUUUUCGUCGAGCCCUCGACACAUGGGAACCCGAGAUACGGGAUCACCCCAUCUUUAUUUACCGUUCCCACACGCGUUCGAAUACGUUGGCACGAUUGCUCGCCGAGUUGUCGGGAUAGGAACGUUGCCGUGGCAUCGUUUCCGUUUUGCCGCCAUGGUUCCCUUUCGUUUGCCAUGGCGACACAAGUUUCUUUCUCUUCUUGCCCGUGAUGUUUGAACUCGCCUGCAUGACGCAUUCAUGGCAUAUUUAUUUUGUGUUGCUUAUUCUUGUGCCGUAGCUCCGUUCAAAGUCCGACAUGCUGUCGACUAGGAUGACUUGUAGGUUCAUCGCUCACCCCUUGCCAUGUUAACAACAUUUAAUAUUGUCGUGAUAAUUAACGGGAGUUAAUUAAAUAUUUAAACGUGGAGUUUCGUCGAUAUGCAACCCGUUGCAUAUCGAGCUUCAUUUAAUGUGUAGUGUAUGUGUGAGGUGUUUUGCCGUGCCAUCCCGUGCAUCGAUGACCUGUUCAUGCAUCAUAUUAGGGUUGCAUCAUGUCUUGCCUUGUGGUGGUGAAUACUAGUGUUGAUGUUUGUUUCCGGUUUCCUCCGUCUCGAUAGAGUUCCGCAAGCGUGUCGGAAUGUGAGGACCGUUCGACUAUGUCGGUUCGCUGACUUCACCGAGUUGUUCUUCUUCCAAGCGGGAUCUCAGGCAAGAUGAUCAUUUCCCCAGAUACCAUUACUAUCAUUGCCAUGCUAGUUAUUUCGUUGCUACCGUUUAUGUCUCGUUGCCUACCACCUGUUAAAUAUCAGCCUCUCAACAAUGCCAUGAUUACCCUCAACCUGUUCGACCUAGCAAACCACUGAUUGGCUAUGUUACUGCUUGCUUAACCCUGUUGUUAGCGUUGCUAGUUGCAGGUGCAGUUGCUACCAUGUGAGAACAUGGGUACCUUGUUAUAUCACCAUAUCAAUGCUAUUUAAUUUAAUGCACCUAUAUACUUGGUAAAAGGUGGAAGGCUCGGCCUUUCUAGCCUGGUGUUUUGUUCCACCUUUGCCCCCUUAGUUUCGGCUACCGGUGUUAUGUUCCAUAAACGAGCGCUCCUAACACGAUCGGGGUUGUUAUGGGGACCCCCUUGAUAAUUCGUUUUAGAUUAAAGAUGGUCUGGCAAGGCCCAACUUUGGUACUACAUUUGCCUAAUCACUAAUAAACUGCAUAGGGAGUAAUUAACCCGAGGAAAUUUAAUCAACCCCCGGGCCAGUGCUCCUCAUGAGUGUUGGUCCAAACUAGAGCCGUUUGCGGGGCCAACCCGGGGCAACUCGGGAGAUUUCUAUCAGGCCACCGUACGCUGUGCUUAUCCGUCGUGUCCUGAGAACGAGGUACGCGACUCCUAUCGGGAUCGUCGACACGUCGGGCGGCCUUGCUGGAUUAGUUUUACCUUUGACGAAAUAUCUUGUGCAUCGGGAUUCUGGUGAUGCUUUGAGUAAUCUCAGAGUUGAGGUUUUCCACUAGGGAAUCCGACGAGAUCGCGAGCUUCGUGAUUGAGGAUUUCUAUGCGGCUUGUGGUAAUUUGUGAUGGACUAGUUGGAGCACCCCUGCAGGGUUAAAUCUUUCGGAAAGCCGUGCCCGCGGUUAUGUGGCAAAGUGGAUACUUUGUUUAACACUGGUUAUAGAUAACUUGAAGUUAACUUAAUUAAAAUAUGCCAACUGUGUGCGUAACCGUGAUUGUCUGUUUCAUGAGUUCCUUCUCCGAUCGAGGACACGGUGGGGUUAUGUCUGACGUAGGUAGGUGUUCAGGAUCAUUCAUUUGAUCAUCAGUAGUCACGUCCGCUAUGCGUAGAUCUUCCCCCUCUUAUUUCUUGUAUUCGUAAGUUAGCCACCAUAUAUAUGCUUAGCCGCUGCUGCAACCUCACCACUUAACCAUGCCUCACCUAACAAGCUUGCAUGCNNNNNNNNNNNNNNNNNNNNNNNNNNNNNNNNNNNNNNNNNNNNNNNNNNNNNNNNNNNNNNNNNNNNNNNNNNNNNNNNNNNNNNNNNNNNNNNNNNNNCUGGAAGCAGGAAUCAUUUAUCCUGUUGCUCAUAGUGAUUGGGUAAGUCCAGUACAUUGCGUACCUAAGAAGGGAGGUAUCACCGUCGUUCCUAAUGAUAAGAAUGAACUAAUCCCACAGAGGAUUAUUACUGGCUAUAGGAUGGUGAUAGACUUCCGGAAACUGAACAAGGCAACCAGGAAAGACCAUUAUCCUUUGUCGUUUAUCGACCAAAUGCUAGAAAGGCUAUCUAAACACACACACGUCUACUUUCUAGACGGUUAUUCAGGUUUCUCGCAAAUACCUGUUGCACAAUCUGAUCAGGAUAAAACCACUUUCACCUGCCCAUUCGGUACCUUUGCUUAUAGACGUAUGCCUUUUGGCUUAUGCAAUGCACCUGCCACCUUUCAAAGGUGUAUGAUGGCAAUAUUCUCUGACUUUUGUGAAAAGAUUGUUGAGGUUUUCAUGGAUGAUUUCUCCGAUUACGGUUCUUCCUUUGACGAUUGCCUCGGCAACCUUGAUCGAGUCUUACAGAGAUGCUAACAUACCAACCUCGUAUUGAACUGGGAGAAGUGCCACUUCAUGGUUAAUGAAGGUAUCGUCUUAGGACACAAAAUCUCUGAGAAAGGCAUUGAAGUUGAUAAGGCUAAGCUUGAUGCAAUUGAGAAAAUGCCUUGCCCCACAGAUAUCAGAGGUAUACGAAGUUUCCUAGGUCAUACUGGUUUCUAUAGAAGGUUCAUUAAAGACUUCUCUAAGAUUUCUAGGCCUCUUACCAACCUCUUGCAGAAGGAUGUUCCUUUUGUUUUUGAUGAGGAUUGUGAGGAAGCUUUCGAAAUACUUAAGAGGGCCUUGAUAACCGCACCUAUUGUUCAACCACCUGAUUGGAACUUGCCCUUUGAAAUCAUGUGCGACGCUAGUGAUUAUGCUGUUGGUGUUGUUCUAGGACAAAGAGUUGACAAGAAGUUGAAUGUUAUUCACUACGCUAGUAAAACUCUAGACAUUGCCCAAAGAAACUAUGCUACUACGGAGAAGGAAUUUUUAGCAGUCGUGUUUGCAUGUGAAAAGUUCAGAUCUUAUAUAGUUGACUCCAAAGUCAUUAUUCACUCUGAUCGUGCUGCUAUCAAGUAGCUUAUGGAGAAGAAAUACGCUAAACCUAGGCUAAUCAGAUGGGUUCUCCUGCUACAGGAAUUUGAUUUGCACGUUGUUGACCAAAAGGGUGCUGAUAACCCUAUAGCAGAUAACUUAUCCAGGCUAGAGAACGUCCUUGAUGACCCACGACCUAUUGAUGACAGCUUUCCUGAUGAGCAAUUGAAUGUCAUCCGUACUUCACAUAGUGCACCGUGGUAUGCUGAUUACACAAACUAUAUCGUAGCCAAAUACAUACCAUCCAGUUUCACCUACCAGCAAAAGAAGAAAUUCUUCUUUGAUUUGAGACACUACUUUUGGGAUGAUCGUCACCUUUAUAAGGAACGAGUAGAUGGUGUUAUUAGACGUUGUGUGCCUGAACAUGAACAGGGAUAGAUCCUGCAGAAGUGUCAUUCCGAAGCCUACGGAGGACACCAUGCUGGAGAUAGAACUGCUCAUAAGGUAUUGCAAUCAGGUUUCUAUUGGCCCACUCUCUUCAAGGAUGCCCGUAAGUUUGUCUUGUCUUGUGACGAAUGCCAAAGAAUAGGGAACAUCAGUAAACGUCAGGAAAUGCCUAUGAACUAUUCACUUGUCAUUGAACCAUUUGAUGUCUGGGGGUUUGAUUAUAUGGGACCCUUCCCGAGUUCCAAUGGGUAUACUCACAUAUUAGUUGCUGUUGAUUACGUAACUAAGUGGGUAGAAGCUAUCCCCACUAGAAGUGCUGAUCACCACGUCUCUAUUAAGAUGCUUAAAGAAGUCAUUUUCCCAAGAUUUGGAGUCCCUAGAUAUCUGAUGACUGAUGGCGGUUCACACUUCAUUCAUGGUGUUUUCCGCAAGAUUCUCGCUAAGUAUGAUGUCAACCAUAGAGUUGCAUCUCCUUAUCAUCCUCAGUCUAGUGGUCAAGUGGAAUUGAGUAAUAGGGAGAUCAAAUUGAUCUUACAAAAGACUGUCAAUAGAUCUCGAAAGAAUUGGUCUAGCAAACUUGACGAUGCACUAUGGGCUUAUAGGACUGCUUAUAAGAAUCCCAUGGGCAUGUCGCCGUAUAAAAUGGUUUACGGUAAGGCCUGUCAUUUACCUCUUAAGCUAGAACACAAAGCUUAUUGGACAAUCGAAGAGCUCAACUUCGAUUUCAAACUUGCUGGUGAGAAGCGGUUGUUUGAUAUCAUCUCAUUAGAUGAAUGGAGGGCCCAGGCAUAUGAGAAUGCCAAGUUGUUCAAAGAAAAGGUUAAGAGAUGGCACGAUAAAAGAAUACAAAAACGUGAGUUCAAUGUAGGUGAUUAUGUCCUUCUAUACAAUUCUUGCUUAAGAUUCUUCGUAGGCAAGCUUCUCUCUAAAAGGGAAGGUCCCUACGUUGUCGAGGAAGUAUAUUGUUUCGGUGCCAACCAAAUCAAUAACACGGAAGGUAAUUUUCCGAGAGUGGUAAAUGGGCAAAGAAUCAAGCAUUAUAUCUCUGGUACUCCCAUAAAUGUUGAGACCAAUAUCAUCAAUAUCAUAACUCCAGAGGAGUACAUAAGGGAUGUUUAUCAGCCUGUUUCAGACUCUGAAAACGGAGAGUAUGUGUUUUGGUAAGUAAUUGGACUCCAAAACUUUUCCAGUAGGAAAUUUUCUCUGUUUUGGAAUUUAUGGAAAAAACGAAAAAUAAAAAGCACUCCGAAGAGCGCACGAGGCGGCCANNNNNNNNNNNNNNNNNNNNNNNNNNNNNNNNNNNNNNNNNNNNNNNNNNNNNNNNNNNNNNNNNNNNNNNNNNNNNNNNNNNNNNNNNNNNNNNNNNNNUUCGCGAUGCUGAAAGUCGCAGAGUCAGAACUCCGUAAAGAACAUCAAGUGUUGAUGGUGAAUAAGACCACUAGUUUCAAGAGAAAUGGCAAAGGAAAGAAGGGUAAUUCAAAGAAGAGCGGCAAACCUGUUGCCAAUCCGACGAAGAAACCCGAAGAUGGACCUAAGCCUGAAACGGAGUGCUAUUAUUGCAAGGGUAUGGGUCACUGGAAGCGCAACUGCCCCAAGUAUCUGGCUGAUAAGAAGGCGGCCAAAGUAAAAUCAGGUAUAUUUGACAUACAUGUUAUUGAUAUGUACUUAACCAGCUCUCGUAGUAGUGCCUGGGUAUUCGAUACCGGUUCUGUUUCUCAUAUAUGCAACUCGAAACAGGAACUGCGGAAUAGGCGAAGGCUGGCGAAAGAUGAAGUGACGAUGCGCGUAGGAAAUGGUUCCAAGGAUGAUGCAAUCGCCGUCGGCACAGUUUAACUUCAGUUACCAUCAGGAUUAGUGAUGAACUUAAAUCAUUGUUAUUUAGUGCCUGCGUUGAGCAUGAACAUUAUAUGUGGAUCUUGUUUAUUGCGAGACGGUUACUCUUUUAAGUCAGAGAAUAAUGGUUGUUCUAUUUCUAUGAGUAACAUCUUUUAUGGUCAUGCACCUAAUGUGAGAGGAUUGUUCAUAUUGAAUCUUGAUAGCGAUACGCAUAUACAUAACAUUGAGACCAAAAGAGUUAGAGUUAACAAUGAUAGCGCCAUAUUUUUGUGUCACUGCCGCUUAGGUCACAUUGGUGUAAAGCGCAUGAAGAAACUCCAUGCUGAUGGACUUUUGGAGUCACUUGACUUUGAUUCACUUGACACGUGCGAACCAUGCCUCAUGGGCAAGAUGACUAAGACUCCGUUCUCCGGAACAAUGGAGCGUGCAAGUGACUUGUUGGAAAUCAUACAUACCGAUGUGUGUGGUCCAAUGAGCGUGGAGGCACGCGGCGGAUAUCGUUAUUUUCUCACCUUCACUGACGAUUUGAGCAGAUAUGGUUAUGUCUACUUGAUGAAGCACAAGUGUGAAACAUUUGAAAAGUUCAAGCAAUUUCAGAGUGAAGUGGAAAAUCAUCGUAACAAGAAGAUCAAGUUCCUACGGUCUGAUCGUGGGGGUGAAUAUCUGAGUUUCGAGUUUGGUACUCACUUAAGACAAUGUGGAAUAGUUUCACAGUUAACACCGCCUGGAACACCACAGCGUAAUGGUGUGUCCGAACGUCGUAAUCGUACUCUAUUAGAGAUGGUGCGAUCUAUGAUGUCUCUUACUGAUUUGCCGUUAUCGUUUUGGGGUUAUGCAUUAGAAACAGCUCAUUCACUUUAAAUAGGGCACCAUCAAAAUCCGUUGAGACGACACCAUACGAACUGUGGUAUGGCAAAAGGCCAAAGUUGUCGUUUCUUAAAGUUUGGGGAUGUGAUGCUUAUGUCAAAAAGCUUCAGCCUGAAAAGCUGGAACCCAAAGCGGAAAAGUGCGUCUUCAUAGGUUACCCAAAAGAGACAGUUGGGUACACCUUCUAUCUCAAAUCCGAGGGCAAAGUGUUUGUUGCUAAAAAUGCAGCUUUUCUCGAGAAGGAGUUUCUCUCGAGAGAAUUGAGUGGGAGGAAGAUAGAACUUGACGAGGUUGUCGAACCUCUCAUCCCUCUGGAUGGUGGCGCAGGGCAAGGGGAAACCUCUGUCGUUGCGACGCCGGUUGAGGAGGAAGUUAAUGAUGAUGAUCAUGAAACUCCAGUUCAAGUUUCUGUCAAACCACGCAGGUCGACGAGACCACAUGCUGCUCCAGAGUGGUACGGUAAUCCCGUCUUAUCAAUCAUGUUGUUAGACAACAAUGAACCUGCAAAUUAUGAAGAAGCAAUGGUGGGCCCAGAUUCCAACAAAUGGCUAGAAGCCAUGAAGUCCGAGAUAGGAUCCAUGUAUGAGAACAAAGUGUGGACUUUGGAGGUACUACCUGAGGGCCGCAAGGCUAUUCAGAACAAAUGGAUCUUUAAGAGGAAGACGGACGCUGACGGCAAUGUGACCGUUUAUAAAGCUCGACUUGUGGCAAAGGGUUUUUCACAAGUUCAAGGAGUUGACUACGAUGAGACAUUCUCACCCGUAGCGAUGCUUAAGUCCGUCAGAAUCAUGUUAGCAAUAGCUGCAUUUUUCGAUUAUGAAAUCUGGCAGAUGGAUGUCAAAACGGCGUUCCUUAAUGGUUUCCUUAAGGAAGAGUUGUAUAUGAUACAACCCGAAGGUUUUGUCGAUCCUAAGAAUGCUAACAAGGUGUGCAAGCUCCAGCGAUCCAUUUAUGGACUGGUGCAAGCAUCUCGGAGUUGGAACAAACGCUUUGAUGAGGUAAUCAAAGCAUUUGGGUUUAUACAAGUGGUUGGAGAAUCUUGUAUUUACAAGAAAGUGAGUGGGAGCUCUGUGGCGUUUCUAAUAUUAUAUGUGGAUGACAUAUUGCUGAUUGGAAACAACGUGGAGUUUUUAGAGAGCAUAAAUGAUUACUUGAAUAAGAGUUUCUCUAUGAAGGACCUAGGAGAAGCUGCUUACAUUCUAGGCAUUAAGAUCUAUAGGGAUAGAUCAAAACGCGUGAUAGGACUUUCACAAAGCACAUACCUUGAUAAAGUUUUGAAGAGGUUCAAAAUGGAACAGUCCAAGAAAGGGUUCUUGCCAGUUUUACAAGGUACGAUAUUGAGUAAGACUCAGUGCCCGGCAACUGAUGAAGAUAGAGAGCAUAUGCGCUCCGUCCCCUAUGCUUCAGCCAUAGGUUCUAUCAUGUAUGCAAUGUUGUGCACUAGACCGGAUGUUAGCCUGGCCAUAAGUAUGGCAGGUAGGUUCCAGAGUAAUCCAGGAGUGGAUCACUGGACAGCGGUCAAGAAUAUCCUAAAGUACCUAAAAAGGACUAAGGAGAUGUUUCUCGUGUCUGGAGGUGACGAAGAGCUCGCCGUAAAAGGUUACGUCGAUGCAAGCUUUGACACAGAUCCGGAUGACUCUAAGUCGCAAACCGGAUACGUAUUUAUUCUUAAUGGGGGUGCGGUAAGCUGGUGCAGUUCCAAGCAAAGCGUCAUAGCAGAUUCUACAUGUGAAGCGGAGUACAUGGCUGCCUCGGAGGCAGCUAAGGAGGGUGUCUGGAUGAAGCAGUUCAUGACGGAUCUUGGAGUGGUGCCAACCGCACUGAAUCCAAUAACCUUGUUCUGUGACAACACGGGUGUCAUUGCCUUAGCAAAGGAACCACGGUUUCACAAGAAGACCAGACACAUCAAACGACGCUUCAACCUCAUCCGCGACUACGUCGAGGGAGAGGACGUAAAUAUAUGCAAAGUGCACACGAAUCUGAAUGUAGCAGACCCGCUGACUAAACCUCUUCCACGGCCAAAGCAUGAUCAACACCAGAACUGUAUGGGUGUUAGAUUUAUUACAAUGUAAUUCACAUGAUGAUGUGAGGGCUAGAUUAUUGACUCUAGUGCAAGUGGGAGACUGUUGGAAUUAUGCCCNNNNNNNNNNNNNNNNNNNNNNNNNNNNNNNNNNNNNNNNNNNNNNNNNNNNNNNNNNNNNNNNNNNNNNNNNNNNNNNNNNNNNNNNNNNNNNNNNNNNAGCACGUGAUGAUGGCCAUAUCAUGUCACUUAUGAAUUGCAUGUGAUGUUAAUCCUUUUAUGCACCUUAUUUUUCUUAGAACGACGGUAGCAUUAUGAGGUGAUCUCUCACUAAAAUUUCAAGACGAAAUUGUGUUCUCCCCGACUGUGCACCGUUGCAGUUCGUUGUUUCGAGACACCACGUGAUGAUCGGGUGUGAUAGAGUCAACGUUCACAUACAACGGGUGCAAAACAGUUGCACACGCAGAACACUCGGGUUAAGCUUGACGAGCCUAGCAUGUGCAGACAUGGCCUUGGAACACAUGAUACCGAAAGGUCGAUCAUGAAUCAUAUAGUUGAUAUGAUUAGCAUAGGGAUGCUUACCACUGAAACUAUCCUCAACUCACGUGAUGAUCGGACUUGAGCUAGUGGAAUUGGAUCAUGAACAACUCAAAUGACUAGAGAUAUGUACUUUUUGAGUGGGAGUUUAGCAAGUAAUUUCAUUAAGUUAAACUCUAAUUAUCUUGAACAUAGUCUAAGUCCACUUUGAAUAUAUUUGUGUUGUAGAUCAUGGCUCACGCGACAGUCACCUUGAAUUUUAAUACGUUCCUAGAGAAAGCUAAGUUGAAAGAUGAUGGAAGCAACUUUGUAGACUAGGCUCGUAAUCUUAAGUUGAUCCUACAAGCUGGGAAGAAGGAUUAUGUCCUUGAUGCUGCGCUAGGAGAUGAACCACCCGCUACGGCUGACCAAGAUGUUAAGAACGCUUGGUUAUCACGUAAGGAGGACUACUCAGUAGUUCAAUGUGCAGUCUUGUAUGGCUUAGAACCGGGACUUCAACGUCACUUUGAGCGUCAUGGAGCAUUUGAGAUGUUCCAAGAGUUGAAGUUUAUCUUUCAGAAGAACGCCCGGAUCGAGAGGUAUGAGACCUCCGAUAAAUUCUAUGCUUGCAAGAUGGAGGAGAACUCGUCUGUCAGUGAACAUGUGCUCAAAAUGUCUGGGUACUCAAACCAUCUAGCUGAGCUGGGGAUUGAACUCCCGCAAGAGGCUAUCACUGACAGAAUCCUUCAAUCACAGCCGCCAAGCUAUAAAGGCUUUGUGUUGAACUACAACAUGCAAGGGAUGAACAAGUCACCCGGCGAGUUGUUUGCGAUGCUGAAAGUCGCAGAGUCUGAACUCCGUAAAGAACAUCAAGUGUUGAUGGUGAAUAAGACCACUCAUUUCAAGAGAAACGACAAAGGCAAGAAGGGUAAAUCAAAGAAGAUCGGAAAGCCUGUUGCCAAUCCGACGAAGAAACCCAAAGCUGGACCUAAGCCUGAAACAAAGUGUUACUAUUGCAAGGGUAUGGGUCACUGGAAGCGCAAUUGCCCCAAGUAUCUGGCUGAUAAGAAGGCGGCCAAAGAAAAAUCAGGUAUAUUUGAUAUACAUGUUAUUGAUGUGUACUUAACCGGCUCUCGUAGUAGUGCCUGGGUAUUCGAUACCGGUUAUGUUGCUCAUAUUUGCAACUCGAAACAGGAACUACAGAAUAGACGAAGGCUGGCGAACGAUGAAGUGACGAUGCGCAUAGGAAAUAGUUCCAAGGUUGAUGCAAUCGCCGUCGGCACAGUUUCACUUCAGUUACCAUCAGGAUUAGUUAUGAACUUGAAUCAUUGUUAUUUAGUGCCUGCGUUGAGCAUGAACAUUAUAUCUGGAUCUUGUUUAUUGCGAGAUGGUUACUCUUUUAAGUCAGAGAAUAAUGGUUGUUCUCUUUCUAUGAGUAACAUCUUUUAUGGUCAUGCACCCAAUGUGAGAGGAUUGUUCAUAUUGAAUCUUGAUAGCGAUACACACAUACAUAACAUUGAGACCAAAAGAGUUAGAGUUAACAAUGAUAGCGCCAUAUUUUUGUGGCACUGCCGCUUAGGUCAUAUUGGUGUAAAGCGCAUGAAGAAACUCCAUGCCGAUGGACUUUUGGAGUCACUUGACUUUGAUUCACUUGACACGUGCGAACCAUGCCUCAUGGGCAAGAUGACUAAAACUCCGUUCUCCGGAACAAUGGAGCGUGCAAGUGACUUGUUGGAAAUCAUACAUACCGAUGUGUGUGGUCCGAUGAGCGUAGAGGCACGCGGCGGAUAUCGUUAUUUUCUCACCUUCACUGAUGAUUUGAGUAGAUAUGGUUAUGUCUACUUAAUGAAGCACAAGUCUGAAACAUUUGAAAAGUUCAAGCAAUUUCAGAGUGAAGUUGAAAAUCAUCGUAACAAGAAGAUCAAGUUCCUACGGUCUGAUCGUGGGGGUGAAUAUCUGAGUUUCGAGUUUGGUGCUCACUUAAGACAAUGUGGAAUUGUUUCACAGUUGACNNNNNNNNNNNNNNNNNNNNNNNNNNNNNNNNNNNNNNNNNNNNNNNNNNNNNNNNNNNNNNNNNNNNNNNNNNNNNNNNNNNNNNNNNNNNNNNNNNNNUAUAUCACAUCACAUCAUUGGCCAUAUCACAUCACAAGCAUACCCUGCAAAAACAAGUUAGACGUCCUCUAAUUUUGUUGUUGCAUGUUUUACGUGGUGACCAUGGGUAUCUAGUAGGAUCGCAUCUUACUUACGCAAACACCACAACGGAGAUAUAUGAGUUGCUAUUUAACCUCAUCCAAGGACCUCCUCGAUCAAAUCCGAUUCAACUAAAGUUGGAGAAACUGACACCCACCAUUCAUCUUUGAGCAACGGAGUUACUCGUAGCGAUGAAACCAGUCUCUCGUAAGCGUACGAGUAAUGUCGGUCCGAGCCACUUAGAUCCAAUAAUACCGCGGAAUCAAGAAAAUACUAAGGAGGGAAGCAAAACGCACAUCACCGCCCACAAAAACUUUUGUGUUCUACUCGAGAAGACAUCUACGCAUGAACCUAGCUCAUGAUGCCACUGUUGGGGAACGUCGCAUGGGAAACAAAAAUUUUCCUACGCGCACGAAGACCUAUCAUGGUGAUGUCCAUCUACGAGAAGGGAUGUGUGAUCUACGUACCCUUGUAGACCGUACAGCAGAAGCGUUAGUGAACGCGGUUGAUGUAGUGGAACGUCCUCACGUCCCUCGAUCCACCCCGCGAACCGUCCCGCGAUCAGUCCCACGAUCUAGUGCCGAACGGACGGCACCUCCGCGUUCAGCACACAUACAGCUCGACGAUGAUCUCAGCCUUCUUGAUCCAGCAAGAGAGACAGAGAGGUAGAAGAGUUCUCCGGCAGCGUGACGGCGCUCCGGAGGUUGGUGGUGAUCUUAUCUCAGCAGGGCUCCGCCCGAGCUCCGGAGAAACGCGAUCUAGAGGAAAAACCGUGGAGGUAUGUGGUCGGGCUGCCGUGGAAAAGUCGUCUCAAAUCAGCCCUAAAACCUCCGUAUACAUAGGGGGAAGAGGGGGAGCCUUGCCUUGGGGUCCAAGGACCCCUAAGGGUUUCGGCCGAGCCAAAGGAGGCAGCCCUCCCCUUCCAAACCGAGUCCAACUAGGUUUGGAAGGAGGAGUCCUUCCCCCUUUUCCCACCUCCUCUUUUUUUUUCUCUUUGAUUUUUCUUCCUAUGGCGCAUAGGGCUCUUUUGGGCUGUCCCACCAGCCCACUAAGGGCUGGUGCGCCACCCCUAAUGCCUAUGGGCUUCCUCGGGGUGGGUUGCCCCCCCAUUGAACUCCCGGAACCCAUUCGUCAUUCCCGGUACAUUCCCGGUAACUCCGAAAACCUUCCGGUAAUCAAAUGAGGUCAUCCUAUAUAUCAAUCUUCGUUUUCGGACCAUUCCGGAAACCCUCGUGACAUCCUUGAUCUCAUCCGGGACUCCGAACAACAUUCGGUAACCAACCAUAUACCUCAAAUACGCAUAAAACAACGUCGAACCUUAAGUGUGCAGACCCUGCGGGUUCGAGAACUAUGUAGACAUGACCCGAGAGACUCCGUGGUUAAUAUCCAAUAGCGGGACCUGGAUGCCCAUAUUGGAUCCUACAUAUUCUACAAAGAUCUUAUCGUUUGAACCUCAGUGCCAAGGAUUCAUAUAAUCCCGUAUGUCAUUCCCUUCGUCCUUCGGUAUGUUACUUGCCCGAGAUUCGAUCGUUAGUAUCCGCAUACCUAUUUCAAUCUCGUUUACCGGCAAGUCUCUUUACUCGUUCCGUAAUACAAGAUCCCGCAACUUACACAAAGUCACAUUGCUUGCNNNNNNNNNNNNNNNNNNNNNNNNNNNNNNNNNNNNNNNNNNNNNNNNNNNNNNNNNNNNNNNNNNNNNNNNNNNNNNNNNNNNNNNNNNNNNNNNNNNNCUCAUCCGGGACUCCGAACAACAUUCGGUAACCAACCAUAUAACUCAAAUACGCAUAAAACAACGUCGAACCUUAAGUGUGCAGACCCUGCGGGUUCGAGAACUAUGUAGACAUGACCCGAGAGACUCCUCGGUCAAUAUCCAAUAGCGGGACCUGGGUGCCCAUAUUGGAUCCUACAUAUUCUACGAAGAUCUUAUCGUUUGAACCUCAGUGCCAAGGAUUCAUAUAAUCCCGUAUGUCAUUCCCUUUGUCCUUCGGUAUGUUACUUGCCCGAGAUUCGAUCGUCAGUAUCCGCAUACCUAUUUCAAUCUCGUUUACCAGCAAGUCUCUUUACUCGUUCCGUAAUACAAGAUCCCGCAACUUACAAUAAGUUACAUUGCUUGCAAGGCUUGUGUGUGAUGUUGUAUUACCGAGUGGGCCCCGAGAUACCUCUCCGUCACACGGAGUGACAAAUCCCAGUCUUGAUCCAUACUAACUCAACUAACACCUUCGGAGAUACCUGUAGAGCAUCUUUAUAGUCACCCAGUUACGUUGCGACGUUUGAUACACACAAAGCAUUCCUCCGGUGUCAGUGAGUUAUAUGAUCUCAUGGUCAUAGGAAUAAAUACUUGACACGCAGAAAACAGUAGCAACAAAAUGACACGAUCAACAUGCUACGUCUAUUAGUUUGGGUCUAGUCCAUCACGUGAUUCUCCUAAUGACGUGAUCCAGUUAUCAAGCAACAACACCUUGUUGAUAAUCAGAAGACACUGACUAUCUUUGAUCAACUGGCUAGCCAACUAGAGGCUUGCUAGGGACGGUGUUUUGUCUAUGUAUCCACACAUGUAAAUGAGUCUUCAUUCAAUACAAUUAUAGCAUGGAUAAUAAACGAUUAUCUUGAUACAGGAAUUAUAAUAAUAAAUAUAUUUAUUAUUGCCUCUAGGGCAUAAUUCCAACANNNNNNNNNNNNNNNNNNNNNNNNNNNNNNNNNNNNNNNNNNNNNNNNNNNNNNNNNNNNNNNNNNNNNNNNNNNNNNNNNNNNNNNNNNNNNNNNNNNNGCAUGCAAGCUUGGUAGCCGCGGCCUCCCCCUGGCCGCGGCUACAGGGUUUGUGGGCACCUCGUGUGCCACCCGGACUCCGUUUUCUUGCGGAGCACUCCUUCUGGUCCAGAAAAAAUCAUUAUAUAUAUGCCCGAGGGUUUCUAUCUCCGUAUCACGCAGUUUUCCUCUGUUUUUCCUUUCGAGCCUGUUUUGUGCCGCAGAUCUAGGUCAAGAUGUCUUCUCAGGAUUUAGAGGGGGAGAGCUAUGUGGCUGAUUACCUUGCUGACCCCAAGGUCUAUGGGGACUUGGAACCAUAUGGCUGGACCACUGAUGAGGAAGAGGACUAUGAUCCCAAGGGGAAGGAACAAACGAGUUCCGAUGAAGAGGAGGCUCCUCUACCUCAACCUGGACGCACUCAUGUGGAGUUCAAGAAGUCAAGCCUCCCUGACUCAAGGAAGAAGCCUAAGAACUUGUUUAUCCCUUCUCGUUUCUUGCAGGAGAGUAAGCAGUAACUUUGUCAAAGGGUGUUGAAGCUUGAGGAGGAAAAUGAUGAUCUGAGAGAGCAGAAUUUCAUGCUCAAGUGGAAAUUAGACAAGCUCAAGACCUCUGCAACAACUCCUCCGCCACCACCAAAGGAGGACAACUGAGCAUUGGUAUGGGCAAUCCCCUUGGCUUGUGCCAAGCUUGGGGGAGUUGCCCUGGUAUCGUAUCACCUUUAUAUCUUUUGCUUUUACCUUUGUUUUAGUUCUUUCUUUUUCAGUUUUUACUUUCUUCUCUUAGUGGGAUAAGUCUUUAGUGUUUAGUUUGAGUCUUUUGCCUUGUGUCUCCCCCGAUGUAUUCGAGCUUGCGAGCUAUAUAAUAAAGAGUAUCUUAGUCAAGGGCUUUGUUUGUGUCGUGAUCAAAAGUAUGAAAAUAACGAUAGCAUGAAAGAUCAUGAGAUGAUCUUAUGGAAAGUGAUAGCUUCACAUAUAACAAGUAUGAUGAUUGAAACUUGUUGAGAAUAUACCAACAUAGACCCCAGUCAUUGUUGCAAUUAAUAAGAAGUAAUAAGGAAAGAGAGUUUCACAUAUAAAUAUAUCUUCUUAGACACUUUUUUACAAUUGUGAGCACUCAUCAAACUAUUACAUGCUUAGAAGUAGAUGUUGGACAAGGAAGGCAACAAGAUGAAUUGUGUUUGCUUGAUUCCAAACAAUGUUAUAUGAUUAGAGAUCCCUUAGCAGGUGACGAUUGCUUUCACCUCAUAUUAGCCAAAACUCCCGCACCCAGUAGAGAUACUACUUGUGCAUCCAUAAACCUUCAACCCAGUUUUGCCAUGAGUGUCCACCAUACCUACCAAUGGAUUGAAUCAGAUCCCUCAAGUAAGUUGUCAUCGGUGCAAGCAAUAAAAAUUGCUCUCUAAUAUGUAUGAUCUAUUAGUGUGUGGAAAAUAAGCUUUAUAUGAACCUGUGAUGAGGAAGACAUAAAAGCAACAGACUGCAUAAUAAAGUUCUUUAUCAGAGGAGGCAAUAUAAAGUGACGUUCCUCCGCACUAAGAGGACACGCAUCCAAACCUCAAAAGUGCAUGGCAACCUCUGCUUCCCUCUGCGAAGGGCCUAUCUUCUACCUUUACCUUUUGUCCUUGUGAAAGUCAUGGUGAUCAACACCAAUUCCCUUUUCCUUCUUUAUCUUGGUGAACGUCAUAUGCUAGGGAAAGAUCUAUAUUCUUAUAUCAACUUGGAGAUGAGUACUUAUGCUUUAUUAUUGUUGACUUUACCCUUGAGGUAAAUGGUUGGGAGGCAAAAUUAUAAGCACUAUCUUUCUCUGUGUCCAACUGAAACUUUGAUACCAUGAGUACCACGUGAGUUGUAACAAUUGUGGAAAACGAAAAAGAUGAUUGAGUAUGUGGAUUUGCUUUACAAGCUCUUAUUUCACUCUUUCUGAUGUUAUGAUAAAUUGCAAUUGCUUCAAUGACUAUGGACUGUUGUUGGCUACUUCUCGGUAAGGUUUUUGAUUCAUACUUUGCUUUGUGAAGGAAUUGUUACUUUCCCAUAAGAAUCUUUAUGAUGUAUUGCUGUUCUAUGUGUGAUCAUGAUGCCCUCAUGUCCUUAUUAUGUUUUAUCGACACCUUCAUCCCUAAACAUGUGGACAUGUUUAUGGAUCUUGGUUUUCGCUUGAGGACAAGCGAGGACUAAGCUUGGGGGAGUUGAUACGUCCAUUUUGCAUCAUGCUUUCAUGUUGAUAUGUAUCACUUUAUGGACUGUUAUUAUACUUUGUGGUACCAUACUUAUGCCUUUUCUCUCUUAUUUUGCAAGGUUUAUUUGAAGAGGGAGAAUACCGGCAGCUGGAAUUCUGGACUGGAAAAGGAGCAAGUCUGAGUCCUCUAUUCUGCGCAACUCCAAAUGCCCUGAAAAUCAACGUGGAAUUUAUUGGGAUUAUAUAAAAAAUAUUGGGCGAAAGAAGUGCCAGAGGGGAGUUGCCACGGGCCCACAAGCCUGGUAGCCGCGACCUGCCCCCCUGGCCGCGGCUACAGGGCUUGUGGGCACCCUGGUGGCCCACUGGCCCCCCUCUUCUGCUAUAUGAAGGGUUUCGUCCGGAAAAAAAAUCAGGGCGGAGCUUUUUCGUGGAUUCUCCGCCGCCACGAGGCGGAACUUGAGCAGAACCAAUCUAGAGCUCCGGCAGGACGAUCCUGUCGGGGAAACUUCCCUCCCGAAGGGGGAAAUCAUCGCCAUCGUCACCACCAACACUCCUCUCAUUGGAGGGGACUCGUCACCAUUAACAUCUUCAUCAGCACCAUCUCAUCUCCAAACCCUAGUUCAUCACUUGUAACCAAUCUCCGUCUCGCGACUCCGAUUGGUACUUGUAAGGUUGCUAGUAGUGUUGAUUACUCUUUGUAGUUGAUGCUAGUUGGAUUACUUGGUGGAAGAGUUUAUGUUCAGAUCCUUGAGACUACUCAUUACCUCUCUGAUCAUGAUUAUGAUUAUGUUUUGUGAGUAGUUACUUUUGUUCCUGAGGACAUGGGAUAAGUCAUGCUAAUAGUAGUCAUGUGAAUUUGGUAUUCGUUCGAUAUUUUGAUGUGUUGUAUGUUGUUUUUCCUCUAGUGGUGUUAUGUGAACGUCGAAUACAUAACACUUCACCAUUAUUUGGGCCUAGAGGAAGGCAUUGGGGAGUAGUAAGUAGAUGAUGGGUUGCUAGAGUGACAGAAGCUUAAACCCCAGUCUAUGCGUUGCUUCGUAAGGGGCUGAUUUGGAUCCACUAGUUUAAUGCUAUGGUUAGACGUUGUCUUAAUUCUUCUUUCAUAGUCGUGGAUGCUUGCGAGAGGGGUUAAUCAUAAGUGGGAUGCUUGUCCAAGUAAGGGCAGUACCCAAGCGACGGUCCACCCACAUAUCAAACUAUCAAAGUAACGAACGCGAAUCAUAUGAACAUGAUGAAACUAGCAUGACAGAAAUUCCCGUGUGUCCUCGGGAGCGUUUUUCCUCCUAUAAGACUUUGUUCAGGCUUGUCCCUUGCUACAAAAGGGUUUGGGCCACUUCGCUGCACCGUUGCUAUUACUUGUUACUUGUUACUUUUCACCUGCUAUGUUUCACCUCACUACACCAUCACUUGUUAGCGCUACUUUCAGUGCUUGCAGUUAUUACCUUGCUGAAAACCGUUUAUCAGAGCCUUCUGCUCCUCGUUGGGUUCGACACUCUUACUUAUCGGAAGGACUACGAUUGAUCCCCUAUACUUGUGGGUCAUCAGGAUGAUCGAGCAUAGCCAGACAAUAUGAUUUUGUAGGGAUAACUUUCUUUGGCCUUGUAAUUUCGAAAGUUCAUGAUCACUUUGCUAGUUUGCUUGAAGUAUUUUUUUUUCAUGUCAAUAGUAAACUGUUGUUUUGAAUCUUACGGAUCUGAACAUUCAUGUCACAAGGAAGAAGUUACAAAGGACAAAUAUGUUAGGUAGCAUUCCACAUCAAAAAUUCAGUCUUUAUCACUUCCCUACUCGAGGACGGGCAGGAGUUAAGCUUGGGGAUGCUUGAUACGUAUCCAACGUAUCUAUAAUUUUUGAUGGUUCCAUGCUAUUAUCUUGUCAAGUUUGGAUGUUUUGUAUGCAUGAAUAUGCUAUUUUAUAUCUUUUUGGGACUAACCUAUUAACUCAGUGCCAAGUGCCAGUUCCUGUUUUUCCCGUGUUUUGACCCUUUUCAGAGGAGAAUAUCAAACAGAGUCCAAAUGGAAUAAAAUCUUCAGAAUGAUUUUAUCCGUAAUAGAAGAUACGCAGGGAACUUGAGAACAAAGGCAAAGGACCCCGGGGGAGGCCACAAGCCCCCUAGCCGCGACCGGGGGGGGGGGCGCCUACCAGGCUUGUGGGCCCCCCGUGGCUCCUUUGCCCUACUUCUUCCGCCUGUAAAUUCCCUAAAAAACCAAAACUGCCAGAGAGAGCCACGAAAAUACUUUUCCGUUGCCGCAAGCUUCUAUCUCCGUAAGAUCCCAUUUGGGGACCGUUCUGGUUCCCUGCCGGAGGGUGGAUUCGGACACGGAGGGCUUCUUCAUCAACACCAUUACCUCUCCGAUGAUGCGUGAGUAGUUCACCACAGACCUUUGGGUCCAUAGCUAGUAGCUAGAUGGCUUCUUCUCUCUCUUGGAUCUUCAAUACAAAGUUCUCCAUGAUCUUCAUGGAGAUCUAUCCGAUGUAAUCUUCUUUUGCGGUGUGUUUGUCGAUAUCCGAUGAAUUGUGGAUUUAUGAUCAGAUUAUCUAUGAAUAUUAUUUGAGUUUCCUCUGAUCUCAUAUAUGCAUGAUUUCGUAUCCUUGUAAUUCUCUUCGAGUUGUGGGUUUCGUUUGGCCAACUUGAUCUAUAAUUCUUGCAAUGGGAGAAGUGCUUGGUUUUGGGUUCAUACCGUGCGGUGUCCUCACCCAGUGACAGAAGGGGUAGCGAGGCACGCAUCAUGUUGUUGCCAUCAAGGGCAAAAAGAUGGGGUUUAUAUCUAUUGCAUGAAUUUAUCCCUCUACAUCAUGUCAUCUUGCUUAAGGCGUUACUCUGUUUGUUAUGAACUCAAUACACUAUAUGCAUGCUGGAUAGCGGUCGAUGUGUGGAGUAAUAGUAGUAGAUGCAGAAAGUAUCGGUCUACUUAUCUCGGACGUGAUUCCUAUAUGUAUGAUCAUUGCCUUAGAUAUCAUCAUGACUUUGCGCGGUUCUAUCAAUUGCUCGACAGUAAUUCGUUCACCCACCAUAAUAUUUGCUAUCAUGAGAGAAGCCUCUAGUGGACACUAUGGGCCCCGGGUCUACUUCACAUCAUAUUUUCAGCUCUACACUUUUACUUUGUUGCACUUUCCACCUUCAUAUCUCACCUUGCAAUUAAUCGUGAAGGGAUUGACAACCCCUUUAUAGCGUUGGGUGCAAGUUUGCUUGUUUUUGCGCAGGUACAUUGGUGACUUGCCUUAAUACUCCUACUGGAUUGAUACCUUGGUUCUCAAACUGAGGGAAAUACUUACUGCUACUGUGCUGCAUCACCCUUUCCUCUUCAAGGGAAAACCAACGCAAGCUCAAGAGGUAGCAAGAAGCCACAAGUAUGAUGCAACUGUCUCGUCCGACACUAGACCGACCCCAAACAAAACUAUGUUGCGGUGAUGGUUCAGGCCGACGAAUGGAACAAACAGAAGCCUAUACUUGUUAGAACGAUAUGUACUGUCGAACACCACGACACCACCAGAGACAACAUAGUCAAUACGGGAUUGUGGAUCAGCCCAGAAUAUGUUCCUCAAAUGGCCUUCGCUGUCUUUUGUGUAUUUGAAAAAGAAUUUUGGGUCUGAUUUUUUCAGUGCAAUCAUGUAGGUGAGCAAAUAUCUAGCAUUAUUGCCUUCUAUCUUGCGCUUCUUCUGGAUUGAAACAUGGUUCUAUAGGUCUCGAUCUAUAAAUCCAAGCUUGUCGGGACCUCCGGCAUUCUUCUCCAUUACAUUCAUAAUCUGAUGUGUUUGAAGUCCACCGACAGCAUACUCGAUGACAUCGGCCUUUUGUUCGUCAGUCAUUCUACGAUGAGACGAUAAGUAGGGAGUCAGGUCAGCAGGGACAAACAGAUGGUUAUGCUUGUCCACAAAAUUCUUGACGAACCAUAAGCCACUGCUAUCUUGUAGCUCAACCGGAAAAAGAGCGGGACACCCACACCGAGAAAGACCCCUCGGUGUUCUUUUUUUUCAGCUCUUUUAAAGUGCUUAAGGGUCUGCCAUCCUUGUUUGCAGCACUUGUGUGUCCUUCUGUAUGCAUUUUGUUUCGGACCCGGACCCCUGUACUUCAGAUCAUCCUUUCUAACACCAAACCCUUUUUUCUGGCAUAGCCUACGUAAAACAUGUAGGCUUCUACCUCAGUCCCGAAAGUCUUAUUUGCAAUCUCUAAGUAUUCCAUAUACUCAUUCACGUCUGAACCAACCAUGCCUUUAUUAUCAAUUUCUUUACCUUGCAAGUGUACAUCAUCCAUGUCUAUGCCAUCCUUGCAUGCAUACUCAUCUUUAUCAUCCAUUCAUGUACCAUCCAUUCCUUUGGGGUCCAUGGCUACGAAAUCAUUAUCCUUAUCAUCCAUGCAUUUGCCUUCGCUUCCUCUCUCACCCAUGUCCUUGUCAUCCUUGCGUGUAUCCCCCAAAUUUUCGCCAUCGUUGUCUUUAUCAUCCAUGUCGUUAUGCUGCCAACGAAAACAUAUAGUCAAUGUUAUAGAUGGAUAGCAUAAGUAAUAAUUAUGCACUACUCUCCUUAAAUAAUUGAUUUAAGUUUUCAUAUCGGAUUCAUGUAUCUAACCAAGUCCUUCAAAAUCUGUAAGUAAGUAUAAAAUAUGCCCUGACUGAAUCCAUAAAUAUUUAAUUGAUUGUACUUGCUGUAACUGAUGAUCUCCUAACUAAAUCCAAAGUCCACAAAUCCUUCAAGUCCCCUGAUAGAUCCACCCUGAUUGAUCAAUUAUCUCCAAACUCCAUUCAAAUUUUUCUCCUAACUAAAUCCAAAAUUAUGACCUAAGUAAAUCCAAAUUAUCUCCUAACUAAAUCCAAAAUAACUCCAAACUCCCUACAAAAAUAUUUGUCUCCUAACUAAAUCCAAAAUAUCUCGCAACUCAAUUCAAAAGUAUCUCCUAACUAAAUCCAAAAUAACUCCAAACUCCCUACAAAAAUAAUUAUCUCCUAACUAAAUCCAAAAUAUCUCGAAACUCAAUUCAAAAGUAUCUCCUAACUAAAUUCAAAAUAACUUUCUUUGAAUCCAAAUCUGCUGACAACUUUCUCAUGCCACAUAACCCUAACUAACUCCAUCAAUAUGUCCUAUGCAGAAGGGACGAGACAAGAUGAGAGAUUGCAGCGGCACUUACAUCUCAGAGGUGGUUGCGAAGAUCCGACGGGAUGGACAGCGAUGACGAUGAUCUGGCCUCGCGUCAGGGAAGGGGCGUCCAAUCGGGGACGGAGGGGAUUAGGCUGCUCGUCGGAAGAUCUGGCGCCACAUAACCCGAGGGGGAUCGCCUCCGAGCGAGGGGGUGGAGGAGGAGAAGGAGAAGGAGGGACUGGUGCGAGGGAGGGGGUGAAGGGGGAGAAGGAGGAGGAGGGAGUGGCAUGACGUGAUAGGGUUCAAGAGGAGCUGACGAACCACUCUGACGCAAUUCAAGUGUUAUGUUAAUGCAAUUAUUAAUUUGAAAUUUUAGGACAAAAAUGCCCCUAGACUUAAUUGGGCCACCCUAAACUUUAAUAUUCUUAGGUCGAAAAUGCUCUUGGGCUUUAAUAAGGCCCAAUUGAUAUCAUCUGUUGGAUCGCUUAUAUAAUACACGUGUUGUCGUAUAUUAUAAUGUGCCGUAAAAUCUCCCUCUUAAUUAAUUUUUUUUGGGACAAACAAGCAGGCGAUGAAUGUCGAAUAGCCAUAUGGUAAUGUACGCCGGACGAAGACAGAAGAAGAUGGACAAAAGACAUUGUGGUUAUGAUGCGAAACACCAUGAUCAUCGAACAAUCUGUAUGUUGGCCUCCAUUUAACUUAAUUUAAACUGGACUCGGCACGUACCGACAAACCUUAUAUCAGUAUACUACAACCACAUUUAAACUGGACUCGGAACAUGCCCAUAACUUAAUUUAAACUUGAUAUAUUACUAGAAAUAGUUAAGAAUUAAAUGAGUUCUAAAAUUGUGUGAGUAGAGAUAAGAUCAAUUGUGGUAGAUGCAAUAUUUUACUUGAUGUUCUUGUUUUCUUUCCAUGGGUGUUGCUUCAUUUCAGUUCAUUUGCGGCAUGAUUUGACAAUCGAUUGGCUCUGGCUAUCAAUGAUUGGCAAAAAAUUCUUUGGACUACAUCUUAGUCAAGAAUAGUGAACCGUCGCAAACACGAGAGGGCAUAAAGAUAUUUGAUCUUCAUAUGGGUCACGCGUAUUGACGAAUUUUAGUGUGGGCUAGAGACUUUUAGUUAAGUCUCUUCCCUCACCCCCAAUAAGAAAGUUAAUCUAGCAACAAGGAUAAUCAUACUUGAUUAUGGACGCAGGUAGCUAGUGUUCUCCGAAACCCUAGAAGCCACGUAAUUUAAAUCUGCCAAACAGAUUAGAGGACGCCUAACUUGAUUUUGCGGGAUACAUGUCAUGUUGUAUAAUCUUCGUCAUGAUAAUGAGUUUAUGUAUGAGAUGGCUACAUAAUGUAGCAUUAGAUGACAUACACGUCAUAAUACGAAAUGAUGGUUGGGGCCAAGGGAUUUUCACUUUAAUUACGAGUGUGUCAACUUUGUUAUUUUAUUUUUAUCGACUGGAGUGAUGGACGUGCUACGGAGGAGCCCAGAGUAAGGUGGCUUUACUAGGCGCAAGAGAUCAUGGUGGUGGCUACGACAUCACUCUAGAGUAGUUCAUGAAGACCUUGGAGGAUCAUGACCACAUCCCCGACGCCAAGGGCUAUAUUAUAUCAUUGUAUUAUGAAUAGACUGAUAUGUUUAUCCCAUUGUUGUUUGCACCCUUUGAUUGUGCGGUAGUCAAUUAUUAGGGUGACCUCACACUAGAAAGCAUCAAGUUGUUAGUGCUCUUCCUAGUGUAGCAACCAUCUAUAACACGUAGCUUUUCGUGGUACGUCAUGUCCACAUGAGUACUUUGGAUCGCGGGUGUAAGGCGGGUGAAGGCAUGGCAGAAACACUUAGUUGUCUUGAAGUUCUAGUAAAAUCAUUGUGCACAAAGCAUCGAAAAACAAACAAGAGUCACAUGGAGAUAUGAUCGGCAAAAUUUGCCUACCUCUUGAAGUUCACGUCAUCAGUGAUGCCCACAUCAAUGGUUGUGAAUAAUAUUAGGGUCUUGAAUCACUUAAAUCAAUUAUGAGAGAUAUUGGUUUGAGUGAGAGCACAAUUAUGAAUUAAUUAAGUUUAAUCAUAAGUGCAUAUAAUUAUGGGUUAACUUAAGCGAAAUUAGAAGGACACAUCUUAAAGCGAAACUAUCGGUUAACUUCUUCUUGAGCUAGCUCCUUUCUCCUUGUUGUUUUUUCUCCCUUGAUAUUUCCCUAUGAUAUUUCAAUACAAGGUCAAUUUUGGUACCAGUGUAAUAGAAAAUAGAGUGUAUUGGAAAAAAUAGCGGAAAUAAUUUCAUCACCUAGGGAUAUUUUAGUAGCUCUUAAAAUAGAACAUUAGAAGGAUAAUUAUUUAUUAUGUGUAUGAGAUAGGAAAAUUUACCAUAUGGCAGGUGUAUAGUCUAUAUUUCCUAAUUUUGCAUCUUCCUUCAUUGACUCACUGGUGAGGCGUGCAUGAUUGUGUCUUUCAGCCCCAUCUUAAUUCAUCCUAUUGCGUCAGAUAUCCAGGGACCAUCGUGUAUGUAGUGUGUCAUCCUGAAGGAAGGGAUUACAAAUUUAGAGCAAGUUCUGAAAAGUGACGGUGUAUAAUUGUAAUACUUAAAAUAAACAAAUGCAUGUUCUAACAUGCCGAAAGAAGGCACUAAAAAGUAUAUAGUUCUUCCUUUGUGUUUCCGUAGCCAAGUUUAGCCCAAGGUUCAAAAAAAAUAUAACGCAAUUCACUACGACAAUAGAAGAAAUGUUGAAGAGUACAAUUACAACUCUAAAAUUGAACCUAUUCAUAAGCAUGUGACAAUUGUAGGCUCAUAAGAGAAAUAAUAGAUGAGAAGAACAACCAAGUCAAAUUUAGGUAGAUUUUAAAACUAGGUAAAUAGGAACUUGCAAUGUAAUAUAAAAAUUGCAGACAAUGAUGAAGAUGAAGGAACCUUAUUGAUCAAAGAAGACAUUUAGGAUCAAAUGCAACUUGACACCAUGCAUGAUGAAGCAUUAGGUGAAAGCGGCGCAUUUUUCGGAUAAUCCAUGUUGCAUUCCAAUAGUUACAAAACAUAAAUAGUGAUGCCAAAUUGGGAUGAAAAAUGAGAAAAAGAAAUAGUUGUGAGAGGUCUUUGUAUUUGCACUUCACGUACUACCUUCGUACUUGUGUAAACUGGUCAUCUUUAAACAUGAUCAACUCCCAACACUGUAUGACCAAUCAUGCCAACUGCAUUGCAACUUGUUCUCGUGUCUCCUCUUACUUCACAUUUCACUUACUCCCUCCAUCUCGGUUUAUAAGUCUUCCUAGGUUGUGCACCGUAACCAAGACGGAAAGUAAAACAAGAGAAAUUAAUGUUAACUUGCUAAUUAAUACGAUUGCAUGCAAUGAAUUGACUAAUGCAUGUCGUGCUAGUUAGUAUCAAGUCAUUAAAAACACACAUGUCCCCCGUCUCUUAUUGGUUGAUUUUUUUAUUCAAGUCAAAAAAACAAACGAGGUGAAAGUUAAUGUAUUGUGCCUUAGUGUUUUGGGAUUAUUUGAUUUUCGUAAGAUAACUUAUAAAUCGAGAUGGAGGAAGUACUAAAUUUAUCAAGCAUGGAAUUUAUGUUAUGUAAUGAGCAUUUUUAUAGUCAGAAAAAGAUUUUUUAGUCAAACAUACGAAUGGUAGACUUUUGGUGCACCUUUAAAGAUCAUUAAUGCGAAAUACCAUAGGAAUUCGGUCUUUUAUGGUCUUUUGUGUUAGUUUUCGGUCACACAAAGAGAUCGUUGUAAUGUCCUCCUCCUUCUGGUGCACUGGCAUUUGGUCUGGCGUCUGCCGAAACCGACUUAUCCAUGGACUUGUUUUAUGGGCACGGAAGAAACACAAAAGGUUGAUUUUUUUUUUCUAGUUUAAAAGAAAAGGUUGAUUUUUUCCUUUUUAUAGAACUUCAUUCAACACAAAAUAGCAAGCUGUUUUGAUGCACCUUUCCGUUCGUAAAGGAUGACGAGGCAUCAAUCAUCUCAUUUUUUCCAGCUUUAAAUAAACUAUGAAGAUCGGCUGGGCUAGCAAAUCCACUAGCAUGGGCACCGACCACUAAUAAUGGGCCAAAGCAUUUGUCUAAGUUUAUACUUCCUCCAUCCCUUUAUACAAGGCCAUCAUGAAAGAUAUAUUUUACAUACAUCUAUAUAAAGCUACUAACAGUUAGUAAGGCAAAAAUUAAUGUUGUUCUCUUGUAGUAACAACUUACUCCCUCCAUUCCUUUAUGAACUAACAGUUAGUAAGGUAAAAAUUAAUGUUGUUCUCUUGUAGUAACAACUUACUCUCUUCAUUUCUUUAUGAAAGGUCUAUUAUUUUCGCGCAUAAUUAUACAUGUUAAGACAAAAUUAACCUUGGCUAAAUCAUUGAUUAGAGGCAAUAAAAUUAUUUAGGCUAGAAAAGUAAGAGAUACACAUGAGAGAUUCUUUCCUUCUUCUCUUUAUAAUAAGAGAUGCAUGCAAUCAGAGGAGAGAUAUUUCUUUUUUUAAGGGCUAAUGAUGGAAUUACAAAGAAUUAGAAGAAAUGCACCUUACAUUGUGAAAUUUUAUCAAAAAACAAAUACACCUUAUAAAGGUUCCUUUAUGAAAGGUGUAUUAUUUUCGCGCAUAAUUAUACAUGUUAAGAUAAAAUUAACCUUGGCUAAAUCAUUGAUUAGAGGCAAUAAAAUUAUUUAGGCUAGGAAAGUAAGAGAUACACAUGAGAGAGAUUCUUUCCUUCUUCUCUUUAUAAUAAGAGGUGCAUGCAAUCAGAGGAGAGAUUUCUUUUUUUAAGGGCUAAUGAUGAAAUUACAAAGAAUUAGAAGAAAUGCACCUUACAUGUGAAAUUUUAUAAAAAAAUAAAUACACCUUAUAAAAAGGAACAGAGGGAGUAUUUAAUAAGUACUACAUGUAGUCAUAAUGACACAUAGUUUUUUUCCUUCUCAUUCCUUUCUUGAAUAAUGGUCCUGGUUAAUGAAAAAGAAAAUUUGAUUUACAAAACAGUCAUUAAUUUUUACCUUGUUAAAUAUGAGUUUGUGGCUUUUAUAGAGGAAUGGAGGGAGUAGCGGAUAUUUUGUCUGUUGGUGUGGCAAUGCGACGUAAUCCGUAAAUGCUAAAAUGCCGGCCUACCAACUACCCCUCCGGGAUAAAGAUUUCGAUGGUCCCAGUGGCUGCUUAUGGUGUGCCGCGUGCCCCGUGUGUCCCUCGUUGAAACGGGCCGGUGAUCUAACACUGAAGCAGCAGCAAUUAGCACAGAGCAUACAAGGCAUCAGAUUUGAGCAAGACGACUAUAUUACCGAAGAGCAAUACAAGAUACAGUGGUCAGUGGACACUGUGACACUACUGAGCCCAGUGGGGUACCAGCCACAGCACACUUCCGACUUAACCUGACGCGACUCACCGUAGAGUACCAACUGACUACCAGCUACGAUUCUACGAAGCACACAUGACCAUACUACGUACGAUCGCCUACGUGCGCCUGAACUACUACAUUAUUCGGUGCAUGGACACUAGGGUAAACCAACGGCCGACCUAAGCAGAGUCGUCUUGCUUGCUAGGCUACGUACGCACUGGUCGAUUCAUCAUCUAGGACUUAGUCUUGAACUUGGACUCG